GAUGAAGAUGAAGAUGAAGGAGAAGAUUAUUGAAAUGUCUUUUUCUGAAUCAUCAGCGGAUGAAUGUGUUUCAUUUCCUAUCUCUUGUUGUUUUUCAGCCCAUGUACUGUAAAGAAAAUCAUCCAUGUCAGUGAUCACUGAACUGUAUCUCCAUUGUGUUUUAGCUCAGUACUUAGUUUUGUUUUGGAAGCACAGUUUUGAAAAUGUCAUCAUUUGUUGUUUAAAUGGCGUUUUUUAACGCCAAUAAAAUCUCUUUAUCUUCUAGUGAGAAAAAUCUUAUAUGUGGGCAAGACAAUUUAGAGAUUAUUGCUUGUGACUGUUUGGAGGGUGGCUGUGAUUUAACAGUCAAGUUAUUCUAUUUGUGAGAUGGAGUUCAUGGGUUUGAGUUAUGGAAACAGAAUCUCUGCGAAACAAGGGUAAGACUGUACUCAAUAAUCCUCUCCAGAUUUCACAAGUGUAGGAUGCUUCGUACACGGAGUC
Molecule: unclassified non-coding RNA, 480 nt
Filed under: Hevea brasiliensis (rubber tree)
Lineage: Eukaryota; Viridiplantae; Streptophyta; Magnoliopsida; Malpighiales; Euphorbiaceae
Source: RNAcentral